GUACCGUGUCAUUGGGGAGUGGGUUGGAAAGAGGGAAAACCUGGUGCCAUGGAGGCUGAAGAAGAAAAAAAUAAAGGGAGAUUGCGCCCAAGACUAGUGAGAUCCUAAGGGCAUGUCUUGCCGAGAAAGGAACCCAUGGUUCCCAGAUUUCAAAAAGGGCAGAAUUGAGGGAGGGGCUCGGAUCGCUGGGCGAAAGAAGUUAGUUAAACUUGCGGUAUUUUUUUUUAAUAAAGAGGGAAGUCUAUCAUAACCCCAGGACUGUGGACCGAGGGGAGGGAGUGGGGUUCAGGGGCUUUUAGAGCCCCGCAAUCCGCUGGUCGCGUCACCCACUCGUUGCUAUGGCGACAGAAGGCAUUGGCUGUCUCUCUCCAUGGCAACGGGAGGGAAAAGUUUCAGGAGAAAUGGUGGUGGGGGGGGAGACGACACUUCACCGGGUCAUCCUUUUUCAAGUCCGUUCCCCUCCCUCGGCAUCGAAUCGCACCUCAUUUCCCAUUAUCUUCGGGAAGCUUCACCAUAAAGAUUGAAAUGGACCGAAAAUAUAACCGUAGAACUUGAGGGUCCACAUCCUGCUCAGGCAUCCUGGAAGUGCUGCUUUCUCAAUGGCUGGCUAUUGUGGCCCUGUCUGAGAUUAUAUGGACGUGGUUGUGGUUGAGUGCAUGGACACACCUGCUGUUUCUAUGAGGCCCAAAACAAAAGCCAGUGUUGUCCGACAGAGUAAGAUCUGACACUUCAAAGCAUACUCUCCCUCCUUGUUUCAUCCUCCAAUGUCAAGCUUCCUUCGGCAGGUGAAAUUGGGAAGUGACUCUGCCUGCUAAUGAAGAUGACGUUCCUCUAAUGAGAACAGGACAUGGUGCUGGGAGCCCACUAUGGAUGAAUAAUUACAUCCUAAUUAAAUGCCGCCUUUUGUUUCCUACUCAUUUGCUCAGCAUUAAAUGUGAAUGAAGUUUCCUGUGCGCAAGACUUUCAGGCUCUGACAAAUUCCCAUGAAGUUGCCAGGGAGCUAUAUCUCCCACAGUGCUAGUUACACCAUUAGUUUUUAUCAGGAUUUAUAUAUAAUCUUUUAAAGUGCAAAAAACAAAUUCCUGUUAGCUCCUGAUUAUCUUCAUUAUCUGAAUUACAGUUUAUUCAGGGCAAGCCUUGUUUUCAAGCUCUGUUGACAUUAUCACCACCUCUGAUUAAAUAAAUUCUUU
Molecule: non-coding RNA, 1190 nt
Organism: Phascolarctos cinereus (koala)
Lineage: Eukaryota; Metazoa; Chordata; Mammalia; Diprotodontia; Phascolarctidae
Source: RefSeq, a predicted model, not a curated record